GGGGAAUUUUCCGCAAUGGGCGAAAGCCUGACGGAGCAAUACCGCGUGAGGGAUGACGGCCUAUGGGUUGUAAACCUCUUUUUUCAGGGAGGAUAAUGACGUGUACCUGAAGAAUAAGCAUCGGCUAACUCCGUGCCAGCAGCCGCGGUAAGACGGGGGAUGCAAGUGUUAUCCGGAAUCACUGGGCGUAAAGCGUCUGUAGGUGGUCCAAUAAGUCAACUGUUAAAUCUUGAGGCUCAACUUCAAAAUCGCAGUCGAAACUAUUAGACUAGAGUAUAGUAGGGGUAAAGGGAAUUUCCAGUGGAGCGGUGAAAUGCGUAGAGAUUGGAAAGAACACCGAUGGCGAAGGCACUUUACUGGGCUAUUACUGACACUCAGAGACGAAAGCUAGGGUAGCAAAUGGGAUUAGAUACCCCAGUAGUCCUAGCCGUAAACAAUGGAUACUAGAUGUUGAACAGAUCGACCUGUGCAGUAUCAAAGCUAACGCGUUAAGUAUCCCGCCUGGGAAGUAUGCUCGCAAGAGUG
Molecule: ribosomal RNA, 525 nt
Filed under: uncultured bacterium
Lineage: Bacteria
Description: bacterial SSU rRNA
Rfam family: Bacterial small subunit ribosomal RNA
Source: RNAcentral